RNAcentral lists this ribosomal RNA (497 nucleotides) under uncultured bacterium. RNAcentral's name for it is "partial 16S ribosomal RNA". It matches the Rfam family "Bacterial small subunit ribosomal RNA", at positions 28 to 507 of the family's 1533-position model. The record is from RNAcentral.
GAUGAACGCUGGCGGCGUGCCUAAUACAUGCAAGUCGAGCGAACAGACGAGGAGCUUGCUCCUCUGACGUUAGCGGCGGACGGGUGAGUAGCACGUGGAUAACCUACCUAUAGGACUGGGAUAACUUCGGGAAACCGGAGCUAAUACCGGAUAAUAUAUUGAACCGCAUGGUUCAAUAGUGAAAGACGGUUUUGCUGUCACUUAUAGAUGGAUCCGCGCCGCAUUAGCUAGUUGGUAAGGUAACGGCUUACCAAGGCAACGAUGCGUAGCCGACCUGAGAGGGUGAUCGGCCACACUGGAACUGAGACACGGUCCAGACUCCUACGGGAGGCAGCAGUAGGGAAUCUUCCGCAAUGGGCGAAAGCCUGACGGAGCAACGCCGCGUGAGUGAUGAAGGUCUUCGGAUCGUAAAACUCUGUUAUUAGGGAAGAACAAAUGUGUAAGUAACUAUGCACGUCUUGACGGUACCUAAUCAGAAAGCCACGGCUAACUACGUG